UCUCGGCAAAUUAUCCUCAUAAGUUUGACAAUAAGAGAAACCAUAAAAAAUUUAAAUUAGCCAUAAUUUAAUUAAUAAUAUGGAAUAAUAAAAUCGGAGGCCACGACUGUUUACUAAAAACACAAUUCAGAGCAAUGAUUAAGAUAAUAGUAUUCUGGAUGAAAUUUGCUCAAUGCCAUUAAUAUAAGAGAGGUAAUUUUAAAGUUACUAAUCGAAAAUCUGGUUAAUAGCGGUCUUAACUAUGAGGAUCCUAAGGUAGCAAAAUAAAUUGGCCAUUAAAUGUGGUCUUGUAUCAAUAAUGUAACGAUGGUCUCACUGUCUCUACAACUUGCUCAGUGAAAUUGAAUUGCGAGUGCAGAUGCUCGCUGUCUUCAGAGGGACGGGAAGACCCUAUGCAGCUUCUACUGA
This 408-nucleotide ribosomal RNA is filed under the name Russula aff. ochrocephala KS2848. Its description in RNAcentral is "LSU rRNA". It matches the Rfam family "Bacterial large subunit ribosomal RNA", at positions 1712 to 2107 of the family's 2925-position model. The record is from RNAcentral. Lineage: Eukaryota; Fungi; Basidiomycota; Agaricomycetes; Russulales; Russulaceae. RNAcentral also lists the same sequence under 1 other name.